CCACAAAGUCUGAAUCCAUGUAGACAUAAAGACAGUCUGCAACAUUAUUUUUUUUUUAAGCAGAUAACUAAGAGUUCUGACCUCUGCUCCCUGAGCUGAAGUCAUACUCAUAGAACCAGAAAUAGUUUCCCCAUCAAUUUGUACAGCUGCAUAUCCUGUAUAGUUCUUAGAGUUCUCAUGGUAUGAACUACUAUCUGUAAACCAAACCUCUUUUUCUUUAUUCUUAACAUUUCAUCUACCAGGGGUGCUUCUUCAACCAACUU
Molecule: long non-coding RNA, 263 nt
Organism: Dermochelys coriacea (leatherback sea turtle)
Lineage: Eukaryota; Metazoa; Chordata; Testudines; Dermochelyidae
Exons: 3
Source: RefSeq, a predicted model, not a curated record